GUUUCAUGGGGAUAUAAGACAGAAAGAGUCGAUUGGCCAUGUGCAUAAGAGAAUUGGGCUGAAUACUACUUUGACUGUUGUUUAUGUGUUCCCGUGUGAGAACCUGGGAUUUCUUCCCUAAUGGUGUCAUCAUCAGCUUAAAUUUCCAUUUUUAAAGAUAAUAACAUCCUCAUGCAUUCUGCCUGGGUGUUUAGCUUUGCUUUGAGGCCUUCCUGAUGAUGAGCCCCAGCUUGGGAUGGUGUUUUGUAGUUUUCCUUCUAAGGAAACUUCCAUCUGCAGAAAAACACAAAUAACUAAACGUGUUGAUGUGACCUUUUCCAAAAUGACUUAUCUGCUGGUUCCUGGUGGAGGCUGGAGAAUGAAGACAAAACUUGGGACCGAGUGUCCCUAGUCAAGAAGGAAAGCAAGUGCUUUGAAAGCUGCUUUUCUCCAUGGUUUAGAAAAGAAAAUACCCAGAUUUUUCCACCUGGGAAGUAUGGAUAUGAAUUUGUUACUGAGCACAGAAAGGUUAUAAAUAUAUCCAGACUGGACAGAAGAUUAUGUGAGCUGCUCAAAAUGGAAGAUGAAAAUGAUGUUGCCAAGAGAGCAAUUAUCUUGCAGCCUGAGAAUUCACAAAAGGUGUUACUAGGUAAGAGUAUGGCAAACUAUUAUGUGUCCUUUUCUCUCCAAAACCACUAACUAGGAUGAUCUUCCGUAUGCGUUGGUUUCACAUCCUUCCUCUGCUAUUGGUCAUUAAAGAAAUGCUUUUUCAGGGA
Long non-coding RNA from Falco peregrinus (peregrine falcon), 755 nucleotides. RefSeq lists it as uncharacterized. The record is from RefSeq and is a predicted model, not a curated record. The transcript has 3 exons. Lineage: Eukaryota; Metazoa; Chordata; Aves; Falconiformes; Falconidae.